Molecule: ribosomal RNA, 406 nt
Filed under: uncultured bacterium
Lineage: Bacteria
Description: partial 16S ribosomal RNA
Rfam family: Bacterial small subunit ribosomal RNA
Source: RNAcentral
AUUGAACGCUGGCGGCAGGCCUAACACAUGCAAGUCGAACGAGUGGCGGACGGGUGAGUAAUGUCUGGGAAACUGCCUGAUGGAGGGGGAUAACUACUGGAAACGGUAGCUAAUACCGCAUACCAUCGGAUGUGCCCAGAUGGGAUUAGCUAGUAGGUGGGGUAAAGGGUCACCUAGGCGACGAGCCCUAGCUGGUCUGAGAGGAUGACCAGCCAAACUGGAAAUGAGAAACGGUCCAGACUCCUACGGGAGGCAGCAGUGGGGAAUAUUGGACAAUGGGCGAAAGCCUGAUGCAGCCAUGCCGCGUGUAUGAAGAAGGCCUUCGGGUUGUAAAGUACUUUUAGCGGGGAGGCGGUACCCGCAGAAGAAGCACCGGCUAACUACGUGCCAGCAGCCGCGGUAAUAC